This is a long non-coding RNA of Dreissena polymorpha, 852 nucleotides long. RefSeq lists it as uncharacterized. The transcript has 3 exons. The record is from RefSeq and is a predicted model, not a curated record. NCBI's taxonomy places the organism in Eukaryota, Metazoa, Mollusca, Bivalvia, Myida, Dreissenidae.
CAUCUUGUGCGAAUUCUACUUACUAUGCAGAAGGCUCUACAUGUUGUCCGUGCAACAUUAAUUGUAAACAUGGCACAUGCACAUCAGCUUAUCAAUGCACAGACGGAUGUGAAGAUGGCUUUUUCGGACCCAAGUGCGAGUUCCAAUGCACACAGAUCAACAAAGAAUGUUCUGUGUGUAGUGGUGAUUCUCUUGAGUCAUCUUUUUGUAACACCUGUAUUAAUGGAUAUUAUCCAGAUACAAACCGUACAUGUGUGCAGUGUUCAAGAUUUUGUGCGGAAGGUCAAUGUAAUAGUUCCAAUGGACAUUGUGAAAAGGGAUGCAAAGAUGGCUACUGGAAUCCAAAGUGCGACCGCAUUUGCAGUGAAAAGUGUGGAGUAUGCGACCUGAACAGUGGAAAUUGUUUGACUUGCUCAAUGGCAAGUGUUUUCGGUGCAAACUGCGAUAUGCCAUGUAGUAACACGUGUAAUAAUGCAUCAUGUCAUAUGAACGGAACUUGCAAAAGCGGGUGCAUUUCUGAUUACUUUGGACCAUCCUGUGAGCAGUCAUGUCCUACCAACUGUGCCCGUAGUGGAAACGGAACACGAUGUUCCCAUGCAACAGGUUUAUGUCUUUUUGGCUGCAACGAGGGAUUUAAAGGAGAAGGCUGCAUGGAAAUUCAUAAGUUAGACAACAAUAAGGAUACAGUACAAGUAGCAGCAAUUGGAGGAGGAGUGGCAGCUGCCGUGAUAGUCGUUCUUGUGGUGGUCGUUGUAAUAACAAUAUUCAUUCGGCGAAGAAAUCGAAUGCUGUACGACACUGUCGUAAGAGAUGCAAAUGCAGAUCGCCCAGAACAUACCUAUGACGGCAUAC